CUCAGAUGAUAGCCAAACCAGUGCAAACAGUUGGGAAAGGAGUGAGGAGAGGAAUGCUGUAUGGGGGGAGGGGCAGAAAAGGAAAAAUUUUUUAAGAAAGAAAUUAUCGUAACUAUGUUGUGCAUACAAUAUCAUGCAGCUAGAGCCAGGGCCACCCGCAGUCCUUCUCUAUCCCUCCUCAAUACCUCUCCUCCAUCCAUUCAGGGAACACAUUCAAAAGGAGCAAACAAUAUGGCAGAUGGCAGGAGGAGAAGACUAAUGGACACAGAGAAGACAGUCAACUGCAGGCCAGGAAGAGAACCCUCACCAGGAACCAAGUCAGCCAGCAUCAUGGUCUUGGAC
This is a non-coding RNA of Microcebus murinus (gray mouse lemur), 342 nucleotides long. The record is from RefSeq and is a predicted model, not a curated record. Lineage: Eukaryota; Metazoa; Chordata; Mammalia; Primates; Cheirogaleidae.